GCGCGGGUCGCCUAGCGGCUAUGGCGCCUGUCCUACACACAGGUUACAACCGUGGGUUCGAGUCCCACCCUGCGUA
RNAcentral lists this transfer RNA (76 nucleotides) under Spirochaetes bacterium GWB1_59_5. RNAcentral's name for it is "tRNA-Val". It matches the Rfam family "tRNA". Rfam says of the family: Transfer RNA (tRNA) molecules are approximately 80 nucleotides in length. Lineage: Bacteria; Pseudomonadati; Spirochaetota. The record is from RNAcentral.